UGGACAGGCAUAUCCAGCUAUGUUGCAAGAAGUGAAUGGUUCUUCACCCUUAACAGUCUGCACAGAUAAGGAUUGUUUGCUACUAGAGAACCUGUUUUUCCAAGUAAUGAAGUAAAGCCAACUGGAUUGGUGAUAAGGGCUUGCUUUUCCUAGCAGGAUUCAACCCAGGAGAGUGUGGUGCAAAGUAGUCAACAGCUCUAACACUGCUGCAGCAGUGCUUCCUGGCCUGUUUUCAUUUGAUUGGGAAAUACUUCUGCAAGGCAUUAUGGAAAAGUCUGCUGGGUUUUUGUCCUGCUCCCUCCCAGGCAGAAAAGCAGGCAUAGCUGGGGAAGAUGGAGUGGAUUUUGAUGGCACCAUACAGAAUCUGAGGAGGUCCAGGACUGUCCCUUCCAUGCUGAGACAUCUGCAGAGCUGGGACAUGAAGACCCCUGUGGGGUGUUGUGUAGGGAAAGAGUGGAGCAGGAUAAAGAUGACCAUGGAUGGAUGGAAAGAGUGGUCACCUAUGAGAGCAGCUUUGGUCUCCGUGCUGCAGGUACAUCAGCUCCUGGGAAAUGCUUACCUAUCAAUGCAGCUGUGCAGGAACUCCAGGCUUUCUGUGUGGUGGUGUCCCAAGGAGCAGAAGACAAGCUACCCACAGUUUGGGUGUAGGCAUGUAUGCUGUGUUUCUGACAUGGCUCAUAGGCUCCCAGAAAAUUGCUGUUUUCACUUCUGCAGUGUUUUGCCCAAAAUUUAG
Molecule: long non-coding RNA, 733 nt
Filed under: Taeniopygia guttata (zebra finch)
Lineage: Eukaryota; Metazoa; Chordata; Aves; Passeriformes; Estrildidae
Description: lncRNA (ENSTGUG00000020262.1)
Source: RNAcentral